ACUCCUAGGGAGGCAGCAGUGGGGAAUAUUGGACAAUGGGCGCAAGCCUGAUCCAGCCAUGCCGCGUGAGUGAUGAAGGCCCUAGGGUUGUAAAGCUCUUUCACCGGUGAAGAUAAUGACGGUAACCGGAGAAGAAGCCCCGGCUAACUUCGUGCCAGCAGCCGCGGUAAUACGAAGGGGGCUAGCGUUGUUCGGAUUUACUGGGCGUAAAGCGCACGUAGGCGGACUAUUAAGUCAGGGGUGAAAUCCCGGGGCUCAACCCCGGAACUGCCUUUGAUACUGGUAGUCUUGAGUUCGAGAGAGGUGAGUGGAAUUCCGAGUGUAGAGGUGAAAUUCGUAGAUAUUCGGAGGAACACCAGUGGCGAAGGCGGCUCACUGGCUCGAUACUGACGCUGAGGUGCGAAAGCGUGGGGAGCAAACAGGAUUAGAAACCCCUGUAGUCCC
This 444-nucleotide ribosomal RNA is filed under the name uncultured organism. Its description in RNAcentral is "partial 16S ribosomal RNA". It matches the Rfam family "Bacterial small subunit ribosomal RNA", at positions 335 to 797 of the family's 1533-position model. The record is from RNAcentral.